UACGGAAGGUCCAAGCGUUAAUCGGAAUUACUGGGCGUAAAGCGCGCGUAGGUGGUUUAUUAAGUUGGAUGUGAAAUCCCCGGGCUCAACCUGGGAACUGCAUUCCAAACUGUCAAACUAGAGUGUGGUAGAGGUGAAUGGAAUUCCGAGUGUAGCGGUGAAAUGCGUAGAUAUCGAGAAGAACAUCAGUGGCGAAGGCGGCUCUCUGGCUAGUAACUGACACUCAUGUGCGAAAGCGUGGGUAGCGAACAGG
RNAcentral lists this ribosomal RNA (253 nucleotides) under uncultured bacterium. RNAcentral describes it as "partial 16S ribosomal RNA". It matches the Rfam family "Bacterial small subunit ribosomal RNA", at positions 524 to 776 of the family's 1533-position model. The record is from RNAcentral.